UGAUUUCUUCGGGGCAGGGUGAAAUUCCCGACCGACGGUAACAACUAAAAGUUGAAGUCCGUGACCCGCGUUUUGCGGUGGACCCAGUGAGAUUCUGGGACCGACAGUAUAGUCUGGAUGGGAGAAGAAAAAA
This 133-nucleotide non-coding RNA is filed under the name Companilactobacillus tucceti. RNAcentral's name for it is "Lactobacillus tucceti FMN sequence". It matches the Rfam family "FMN riboswitch aptamer (RFN element)". From Rfam's summary of the family: The RFN element is a highly conserved domain that is found frequently in the 5'-untranslated regions of prokaryotic mRNAs that encode for flavin mononucleotide (FMN) biosynthesis and transport proteins. RNAcentral also lists the same sequence under 1 other name. The record is from RNAcentral. Lineage: Bacteria; Bacillati; Bacillota; Bacilli; Lactobacillales; Lactobacillaceae.